GGGUUGUGAGGUUAAGCGACUAAGCGUACACGGUGGAUGCCCUGGCAGUCAGAGGCGAUGAAGGACGUGCUAAUCUGCGAUAAGCGCCGGUAAGGUGAUAUGAACCGUUAUAACCGGCGAUUUCCGAAUGGGGAAACCCAGUGUGAUUCGUCACACUAUCAUUAACUGAAUCCAUAGGUUAAUGAGGCGAACCGGGGGAACUGAAACAUCUAAGUACCCCGAGGAAAAGAAAUCAACCGAGAUUCCCCCAGUAGCGGCGAGCGAACGGGGAGGAGCCCAGAGCCUGAAUCAGCAUGUGUGUUAGUGGAAGCGUCUGGAAAGGCGCGCGAUACAGGGUGACAGCCCCGUACACAAAAGCGCAUGUGCUGUGAGCUCGAUGAGUAGGGCGGGACACGUGGUAUCCUGUCUGAAUAUGGGGGGACCAUCCUCCAAGGCUAAAUACUCCUGACUGACCGAUAGUGAACCAGUACCGUGAGGGAAAGGCGAAAAGAACCCCGGCGAGGGGAGUGAAAAAGAACCUGAAACCGUGUACGUACAAGCAGUGGGAGCACAGGUUUACCUGUGUGACUGCGUACCUUUUGUAUAAUGGGUCAGCGACUUAUAUUCUGUAGCAAGGUUAACCGAAUAGGGGAGCCGGAGGGAAACCGAGUCUUAAUUGGGCGUUAAGUUGCAGGGUAUAGACCCGAAACCCGGUGAUCUAGCCAUGGGCAGGUUGAAGGUUGGGUAACACUAACUGGAGGACCGAACCGACUAAUGUUGAAAAAUUAGCGGAUGACCUGUGGCUGGGGGUGAAAGGCCAAUCAAACCGGGAGAUAGCUGGUUCUCCCCGAAAGCUAUUUAGGUAGCGCCUCGUGAAUUCAUCUCCGGGGGUAGAGCACUGUUUCGGCUAGGGGGCCAUCCCGGCUUACCAACCCGAUGCAAACUGCGAAUACCGGAGAAUGUUAUCACGGGAGACACACGGCGGGUGCUAACGUCCGUCGUGAAGAGGGAAACAACCCAGACCGCCAGCUAAGGUCCCAAAGUCAUGGUUAAGUGGGAAACGAUGUGGGAAGGCCCAGACAGCCAGGAUGUUGGCUUAGAAGCAGCCAUCAUUUAAAGAAAGCGUAAUAGCUCACUGGUCGAGUCGGCCUGCGCGGAAGAUGUAACGGGGCUAAACCAUGCACCGAAGCUGCGGCAGCGACACUCAGGUGUUGUUGGGUAGGGGAG
Molecule: ribosomal RNA, 1206 nt
Filed under: Salmonella enterica subsp. enterica serovar Virchow
Lineage: Bacteria; Pseudomonadati; Pseudomonadota; Gammaproteobacteria; Enterobacterales; Enterobacteriaceae
Description: partial 23S ribosomal RNA
Rfam family: Bacterial large subunit ribosomal RNA
Source: RNAcentral